This 601-nucleotide long non-coding RNA is filed under the name Gallus gallus (chicken). RNAcentral describes it as "long non-coding RNA NONGGAT002108". The record is from RNAcentral. Lineage: Eukaryota; Metazoa; Chordata; Aves; Galliformes; Phasianidae.
GGAAUGCAAAAAGAAGUGGUAUAGGCUAUGCUCGAUGAUCGGAAGAAGGAGGAUUCUGUGAAACUGAAGGCAUUUGUCAAGGACUGCGACUUGCUGCAAGACAAAAAUGCAACAUGUUUGGUAAAUGGAAGAAGACUGAAAAGGUUCAACAGAGUCAAGAGACUGCUGGAGGACUUUUUCUGCCACAGGCAACUGGGAGUGCUAAUGAUCGGAGAAACUUCAUAAAUGUUACUCACUCCUACCCAAUCUCUAGCAAAUGAUAUUCUAGCAAUCUCUAGAAAAAGGGCUCUGCUGACAGCUUGCAGGGCUAGUUGGACUGGAGAAGCUGAUUCCCAUCUCUUCAGAAAGAUCAGUCUGGAUUUUUUUCCUGGGGAUGCAUAAGUUAUCCCUCAUCUGCAUAACAAGAAGGCUCAAACGGACACUUCAGAAUUCCCAGGGGCGUCGCAUUUACAGCAGCGUGGAAGGAUGAAUGGUACACUGGAAAUGUAUUUGUUUUAUAAUGUUUGGAAAAUAAUGAUAGGAUUGGCCUGAACUCAUUAAAAUAUCUAGAGUAGCUUAGAAAGUACAAAGAUGCCAGUGCACAAAGUAGCACCAAGAAAAC